AGACCCGAAACCCGGUGAUCUAGCCAUGGGCAGGUUGAAGGUUGGGUAACACUAACUGGAGGACCGAACCGACUAAUGUUGAAAAAUUAGCGGAUGACCUGUGGCUGGGGGUGAAAGGCCAAUCAAACCGGGAGAUAGCUGGUUCUCCCCGAAAGCUAUUUAGGUAGCGCCUCGUGAAUUCAUCUCCGGGGGUAGAGCACUGUUUCGGCUAGGGGGCCAUCCCGGCUUACCAACCCGAUGCAAACUGCGAAUACCGGAGAAUGUUAUCACGGGAGACACACGGCGGGUGCUAACGUCCGUCGUGAAGAGGGAAACAACCCAGACCGCCAGCUAAGGUCCCAAAGUCAUGGUUAAGUGGGAAACGAUGUGGGAAGGCCCAGACAGCCAGGAUGUUGGCUUAGAAGCAGCCAUCAUUUAAAGAAAGCGUAAUAGCUCACUGGUCGAGUCGGCCUGCGCGGAAGAUGUAACGGGGCUAAACCAUGCACCGAAGCUGCGGCAGCGACGCUGAUGCGUUGUUGGGUAGGGGAGCGUUCUGUAAGCCUGCGAAGGUGGCCUGUGAGGGUUGCUGGAGGUAUCAGAAGUGCGAAUGCUGACAUAAGUAACGAUAAAGCGGGUGAAAAGCCCGCUCGCCGGAAGACCAAGGGUUCCUGUCCAACGUUAAUCGGGGCAGGGUGAGUCGACCCCUAAGGCGAGGCCGAAAGGCGUAGUCGAUGGGAAACGGGUUAAUAUUCCCGUACUUG
Molecule: ribosomal RNA, 740 nt
Filed under: Salmonella enterica
Lineage: Bacteria; Pseudomonadati; Pseudomonadota; Gammaproteobacteria; Enterobacterales; Enterobacteriaceae
Also listed under: 2 other names
Description: partial 23S ribosomal RNA
Rfam family: Bacterial large subunit ribosomal RNA
Source: RNAcentral